Long non-coding RNA from Poeciliopsis prolifica (blackstripe livebearer), 263 nucleotides. RefSeq lists it as uncharacterized. Lineage: Eukaryota; Metazoa; Chordata; Actinopteri; Cyprinodontiformes; Poeciliidae. The record is from RefSeq and is a predicted model, not a curated record. The transcript is spliced from 4 exons.
UGUGUGUGCAAGUGGGUGGAUCUGUAAGUUAGGAAGAUGGGACCACCCAGCACAUGCCCACACACACCUGGACAGAGGUAAUACAGAACCUUCAGCAGCUCAGCUGAGUCAAGAGAACUCACACAGACAAAGCACCAUGUCUUCGGCAAAAGAUGCAGCAAUUGACUGGGAUGCAGACUUUACAUACGACUACGAAACACUGCGUAUGGGAGGACUGAUCUUCGCCGGAGUUGUCGUGUUCCUUUCCUUCGUUCUGUUGCUUG